This 404-nucleotide ribosomal RNA is filed under the name Actinomycetes bacterium. Its description in RNAcentral is "Actinobacteria bacterium partial 16S ribosomal RNA". It matches the Rfam family "Bacterial small subunit ribosomal RNA", at positions 355 to 776 of the family's 1533-position model. Lineage: Bacteria; Bacillati; Actinomycetota; Actinomycetes. The record is from RNAcentral.
UGGGGAAUAUUGGACAAUGGGCGCAAGCCUGAUCCAGCCAUGCCGCGUGAGUGAUGAAGGCCCUAGGGUUGUAAAGCUCUUUCACCGGUGAAGAUAAUGACGGUAACCGGAGAAGAAGCCCCGGCUAACUUCGUGCCAGCAGCCGCGGUAAUACGAAGGGGGCUAGCGUUGUUCGGAUUUACUGGGCGUAAAGCGCACGUAGGCGGACUAUUAAGUCAGGGGUGAAAUCCCGGGGCUCAACCCCGGAACUGCCUUUGAUACUGGUAGUCUUGAGUUCGAGAGAGGUGAGUGGAAUUCCGAGUGUAGAGGUGAAAUUCGUAGAUAUUCGGAGGAACACCAGUGGCGAAGGCGGCUCACUGGCUCGAUACUGACGCUGAGGUGCGAAAGCGUGGGAAGCAAACAGG